GAACCACCGCAUCUCCGACUCGUCGGUGGCGUAGCGCGGGAUCACGCCGAGGCGGGGCACCUUGCCGGGGUCCGACCCCACGGGCGAGCCGCCGCCCACCACCAUGUCCAUGGGCUUCAUCACGAUCUGGAUCUCCGGGAAGAUGGCGUACCGCUCGGUGAUGGCGAAGUCGUGCAGGAACGACGGCUGCUGCACGGAGAAGAUGGGCACGUCGGCGCCCUUGUUGCCGGCCGGGUCGAACCGGAAGUACGUCACGAACGGCGGCACGGGGCCGUAGCGGAACGCGAAGAGCUCGCCGGUGACGGGGUCCUUCUUGGGGUGCGCGGUCAUGCCCAUGACGAGGCGGCCGCCGAAGUCGCACCUGCCGUGCGUGGUCACCUCGCCGGUGUCCGGGUGGACGCGCACGGCGUAGGGGAGGUCGGACUCGCCGAGCGCGUAGAGGCGGCCGGCGAAGUAGGCGAGGCUGGUGUUGGCGAGCCCGACGCCCUCCAACGGAUUCAUCUGCCCGGUCAGGACCCUGGCCGCCACGACGGCGCCGCGCGCCAUCCCGGCCACGCCGUGGAAGCCGGAGAAGACGUUGGGCAGGACGGGCGCGCCGGCGUCGCGCUCCACGAGGUACUUGUACGUCUGCACGUAGCGCGAGCACAGGACGGGGUCGUCGCCGGACGACGCGGGCGACGGGAGGAGGAGGGAGUGCAGCAUGCCGUCGCCGUCGAACAGGUGGUGCGGCCCGCGCGGGAGGUGCUGCGGGUUGGGCCCGUUGCGGAUGUAGGCGCCGC
RNAcentral lists this long non-coding RNA (779 nucleotides) under Oryza sativa (Asian cultivated rice). Its description in RNAcentral is "long non-coding RNA (OSAT_LNC000437)". Lineage: Eukaryota; Viridiplantae; Streptophyta; Magnoliopsida; Poales; Poaceae. The record is from RNAcentral.